RNAcentral lists this ribosomal RNA (253 nucleotides) under uncultured bacterium. RNAcentral's name for it is "partial 16S ribosomal RNA". It matches the Rfam family "Bacterial small subunit ribosomal RNA", at positions 524 to 776 of the family's 1533-position model. The record is from RNAcentral.
UACGGAGGUGGCAAGCGUUGUUCGGAAUUACUGGGCGUAAAGGGCGCGUAGGCGGCAAGGCAAGUCAGGUGUGAAAGCCCCGAGCUUAACUCGGGAAUUGCAUCUGAAACUGCUGUGCUUGAGUUCUGGAGGGGGUAGUGGAAUUCCCAGUGUAGCGGUGAAAUGCGUAGAUAUUGGGAGGAACACCUGCGGCGAAGGCGGCUACCUGGACAGAAACUGACGCUGAGGCGCGAAAGCGAGGGGAGCGAACGGG